This 923-nucleotide unclassified non-coding RNA is filed under the name Acetobacter aceti. Its description in RNAcentral is "partial contains 16S rRNA, 16S-23S rRNA interal transcribed spacer, and 23S rRNA". The stretch from base 815 to 923 matches the Rfam family "Bacterial large subunit ribosomal RNA", at positions 1 to 109 of the family's 2925-position model. Lineage: Bacteria; Pseudomonadati; Pseudomonadota; Alphaproteobacteria; Acetobacterales; Acetobacteraceae. The record is from RNAcentral.
GGACGCAGCCGACCACGGUCGGGUCAGCGACUGGGGUGAAGUCGUAACAAGGUAGCCGUAGGGGAACCUGCGGCUGGAUCACCUCCUUUCAAGGAUAUUUUCUGACACUGGGUUGGGCAACUGAUCUGGUUUGGAGAAUUCCGAAUAAAAAGUCCUUUGCUGCAGGAUCGGCAAAGGCGCUCAGGUCUGACUGAGCUGCUCCUUAGGAGCGGAAGCGCCGUCAACAUAUCCCUUUCUACGAUGAGAUCUGACUGUGGGUUUUCAACUCGCAGAUUGGACUGGGUUUGGGCUAGUAGCUCAGUUGGUUAGAGCACACGCUUGAUAAGCGUGGGGUCGGAGGUUCAAGUCCUCCCUGGCCCACCAGGUUUGGGGGCAUAGCUCAGCUGGGAGAGCACCUGCUUUGCAAGCAGGGGGUCGUCGGUUCGAACCCGUCUGCCUCCACCAUGUUUGGUGGAACGAGUGAUUGAGGAUUGUGGUGUGAGAGCGCCUGCCGAGAUUGCUUCGUUUUAUGGAUCUCAUCGAGGAGAGGUUAGAGAGAUCGGGCCUUCUUUUAUCUGACUGCGGUGCAGCGGAUUUGAGAGAGUGUCUGGUGAUGUGUUCUUUGUCAGUGUGAAUCGGUUGGUGCGUAUGUGGGCGUGCCGAAAUCCUGGGUUGGUCUGACCCAUGAGCUGAGCAAUCGGCUUGUGUUAAGGGGUUUUGGCGGAAGCGUUCAUAUGCGAUUUUGAAAUGUGACGCGCUUGAAUGAGCUGUCGUGCAUGUUUCCUGAGAUAUCGGGGUUCUGCCUUGGUAUGGAUGGUUUCUGUGCAUGGGAGCAAGUGAGUGCGAGAAGGGCGUUCGGUGGAUGCCUUGGCACUGGAAGGCGAUGAAGGACGUGGCACGCUGCGAAAAGCCACGGGGAGCCGCGAGUAGGCUUUGAUCCGUGG